UGGGGAAUUUUGGACAAUGGGGGCAACCCUGAUCCAGCCAUUCCGCGUGAGUGAAGAAGGCCUUCGGGUUGUAAAACUCUUUCGGCAGGAACGAAACGGUGGUUACUAAUAUUAGCCACUAAUGACGGUACCUGAAGAAGAAGCACCGGCUAACUACGUGCCAGCAGCCGCGGUAAUACGUAGGGUGCGAGCGUUAAUCGGAAUUACUGGGCGUAAAGCGUGCGCAGGCGGUUUUGUAAGACAGAUGUGAAAUCCCCGGGCUUAACCUGGGAACUGCGUUUGUGACUGCAAGACUCGAGUGUGGCAGAGGGGGGUGGAAUUCCACGUGUAGCAGUGAAAUGCGUAGAGAUGUGGAGGAACACCGAUGGCGAAGGCAGCCCCCUGGGUUAACACUGACGCUCAUGCACGAAAGCGUGGGUAGCAAACAGG
Molecule: ribosomal RNA, 429 nt
Filed under: uncultured bacterium
Lineage: Bacteria
Description: bacterial SSU rRNA
Rfam family: Bacterial small subunit ribosomal RNA
Source: RNAcentral